UACGGAGGGUCCAAGCGUUAUCCGGAAUCAUUGGGUGUAAAGGGUCCGUAGGCGGGUUUAUAAGUCAGUUGUGAAAUUCUGCAGCUUAACUUGAGAACUGCCAUUGAUACUGUAGAUCUUGAAUUAUUAUGAAGUGGAUAGAAUAUGUAGUGUAGCGGUGAAAUGCAUAGAUAUUACAUAGAAUACCGAUUGCGAAGGCAGAUCACUAAUAAUUUACUGACGCUGAUGGACGAAAGCGUAGGUAGCGAACAGG
Molecule: unclassified non-coding RNA, 253 nt
Filed under: uncultured Flavobacteriaceae bacterium
Lineage: Bacteria; Pseudomonadati; Bacteroidota; Flavobacteriia; Flavobacteriales; Flavobacteriaceae
Description: contains 16S-23S intergenic spacer region
Rfam family: Bacterial small subunit ribosomal RNA
Source: RNAcentral